RNAcentral lists this ribosomal RNA (292 nucleotides) under uncultured bacterium. RNAcentral describes it as "partial 16S ribosomal RNA". The record is from RNAcentral.
GGACUACUCGGGUAUCUAAUCCUGUUUGCUCCCCGCACUUUCGCGCCUCAGCGUCAGUCAUCGGCUGGAAAUCCGCCUUCGCCACCGGUGUUCUUCCUGAUAUCUACAGAUUUCACCCCUACACCAGGAAUUCCGAUUCCCCCUCCGUGACUCUAGUCUCUCAGUUUCCAAUGCAGUUCCCAAGUUAAGCUUAGGUAUUUCACAUCAGACUUGAAAAACCGCCUACGCGCCCUUUACGCCCAAUAAUUCCGAACAACGCUCGCCCCUUACGUGUUACCGCGGCUGCUGGCAC